CAUCCUCGCCCUGUUGGUGGAUUCUGUCUGCUUUUCUUCGGAACACCGGUGACAGGUGGUGCAUGGUUGUCGUCAGCUCGUGUCGUGAGAUGUUGGGUUAAGUCCCGCAACGAGCGCAACCCCUAUCUUCAGUAGCCAGCGGUAAGGCCGGGCACUCUGGAGAGACUGCCAGGGAUAACCUGGAGGAAGGUGGGGAUGACGUCAAAUCAUCAUGCCCCUUAU
This 222-nucleotide non-coding RNA is filed under the name [Ruminococcus] lactaris ATCC 29176. RNAcentral describes it as "Ruminococcus lactaris ATCC 29176 Bacterial small subunit ribosomal RNA". It matches the Rfam family "Bacterial small subunit ribosomal RNA", at positions 985 to 1205 of the family's 1533-position model. The record is from Rfam by way of RNAcentral. Lineage: Bacteria; Bacillati; Bacillota; Clostridia; Lachnospirales; Lachnospiraceae.